GCCUGGCUGACUCAGUCAGUAGAGCGUGUGACUCUUGAUCUCAAGUAUGGGUUCAAGCCCUGUGUUGGGUG
Molecule: transfer RNA, 71 nt
Filed under: Felis catus (domestic cat)
Lineage: Eukaryota; Metazoa; Chordata; Mammalia; Carnivora; Felidae
Also listed under: 1 other name
Rfam family: tRNA
About the family: Transfer RNA (tRNA) molecules are approximately 80 nucleotides in length. Their secondary structure includes four short double-helical elements and three loops (D, anti-codon, and T loops).
Source: Rfam by way of RNAcentral